ACGGGAGGCAGCAGUGGGGAAUAUUGCACAAUGGGGGAAACCCUGAUGCAGCGACGCCGCGUGAGUGAAGAAGUAUUUCGGUAUGUAAAGCUCUAUCAGCAGGGAAGAAAAUGACGGUACCUGACUAAGAAGCCCCGGCUAACUACGUGCCAGCAGCCGCGGUAAUACGUAGGGGGCAAGCGUUAUCCGGAUUUACUGGGUGUAAAGGGUGCGUAGGCGGCACGGCAAGUCAGAAGUGAAAUCCCAGGGCUCAACCCUGGAACUGCUUUUGAAACUGUCGAGCUAGAGUACAGGAGAGGUAAGCGGAAUUCCUAGUGUAGCGGUGAAAUGCGUAGAUAUUAGGAGGAACACCAGUGGCGAAGGCGGCUUACUGGACUGACACUGACGCUGAGGCACGAAAGCGUGGGGAGCAAACAGGAUUAGAUACCCUGGUA
Molecule: ribosomal RNA, 434 nt
Filed under: uncultured Lachnospiraceae bacterium
Lineage: Bacteria; Bacillati; Bacillota; Clostridia; Lachnospirales; Lachnospiraceae
Also listed under: 2 other names
Description: bacterial SSU rRNA
Rfam family: Bacterial small subunit ribosomal RNA
Source: RNAcentral